RNAcentral lists this ribosomal RNA (303 nucleotides) under uncultured bacterium. RNAcentral describes it as "partial 16S ribosomal RNA". It matches the Rfam family "Bacterial small subunit ribosomal RNA", at positions 507 to 807 of the family's 1533-position model. The record is from RNAcentral.
AGCAGCCGCCGCGGUAAUACGUAGGUGGCAAGCGUUGUCCGGAAUUAUUGGGCGUAAAGCGCGCGCAGGUGGUUUAAUAAGUCUGAUGUGAAAGCCCACGGCUCAACCGUGGAGGGUCAUUGGAAACUGUUAAACUUGAGUGCAGGAGAGAAAAGUGGAAUUCCUAGUGUAGCGGUGAAAUGCGUAGAGAUUAGGAGGAACACCAGUGGCGAAGGCGACUCUCUGGUCUGUAACUGACGCUGAGGAGCGAAAGCGUGGGGAGCGAACAGGAUUAGAUACCCCAGUAGUCCCUGUCUCUUAUAC